UUCAUGUAUGUAGCAAAAAAAAAAGAAAAGAAAUUGAAUAUAUUAAAUUUUUUUUUCAUAAUUAGCAUAUAUUAGUGUUUCGUUUUAAUCUUUAUUUUGUUCUUACAUUGUAUUAAUAAGAUAAAUUUAAAGUUUUUAUAUUUUUUAAAAUGAAUAAAUAGAUAUAUGUAUAUGAAUGUAUAUUUGAAAGAAUGCUUGUUUUUCUUAAAAAUAAUUGUUAGCUUUUAUAUUAUUAUUUUAGCAAAAAAAGUAAUGAUAUAAUGGAAGUUUGUAAAAACAAACGAUAUUUAUCAAUUACAAAAAUAUUAUAUCUUCAUACGAACAAAAUUAAAAGCGCUUCUAGCUCUUUGAUUGAUAAAGAACAUAUGUAUACGAAAACGAAAAUCUUAAGGCAUUUUAUCCGAUUCACACUCUAUCUUUUUUUUAUGGUUAUAUGUUUUAUUCUCUUAUUAGAUCACAAUUACUACUUUGAAUACUACGUAAAAAAGGAGUUAAAAAAUAGCUGGUAUAAAAGAUCGAAAAAUAUAAAUGAUAAUAAUUAUAAAAUAAAUCGAUGCUUAAGAAAUGAAGUAAAUUUACAUUUAUCUGGUGAAUAUGAAAAUAUUGAUGGUGAAAUAGUUUUAUUGCGUGAAAAUGAAUAUUAUGAUAUUAUAGCAAAUGCACUUGCAGAUGUAGAAAAAGAUGCUGCCGCUGCUGCUGCUGCUGAUGAUGAUAUAGAAAAUGCUGGGGCUGUUUUGAAGUCAAAUGAUAUAAAUGCUGAUUAUAUGAAACAAUUACUAGGUGAAAACUAUUUUAAAAUGAUUGAUGAAUCAAUUAAUGCAAUUAAUUCGCAAGGGUUGUUUAUAUUAUUAGGGAAUAUUUUUUAUAAAAAUAAAAUUGAUUUAAUCGAAUUAGAAGAUGAGUUAUUCAAAGAAUGUACUUAUUUAGCUGAUGUAAAUAAAAUAUCGUUAUACACAAAACUAGUGGAAUGGGUAACUGUAUGCAAAUUCAUCACAUGCGAAAUUAUUAUGAAUGAACAUAUACAAUUAAAGGAUAUUCUACAAUUUAGUAAAAGAAAAGCGUUAAAUAAAAUAGAUAUUUUUCUAUUUGCAUACUUUCAAAUACUAUCUUUACAGAAUUUUAAAAAAAAGACAUGCAGUAAAUGGAAAAAAUAUUUGCAAUACAAAUUUAGAAAGUAUAACGAAAAAAGACAUACUAACGAAUGAAUAACAUGUGUAUAGGUGUUGGAAAACAGGCCACGGAUGUAUAACAUAAUAUAUAUGAGAAAGAAAAUAAAAAAAAACGUAUUAAACA
Molecule: long non-coding RNA, 1293 nt
Filed under: Piliocolobus tephrosceles (Ugandan red Colobus)
Lineage: Eukaryota; Metazoa; Chordata; Mammalia; Primates; Cercopithecidae
Description: lncRNA (ENSPTEG00000015273.1)
Source: RNAcentral